UAUCAAUAAGCGGAGGAAAAGAAACUAACCAGGAUUCCCCUAGUAACGGCGAGUGAACAGGGAUUAGCCCAGCACCGAAGCCUGCGUCCGUUUGGGCGUUGGGCAAUGUGGUGUUUAGGUUGGCGUUCUUGGCUGCUACUCCAUUCCAAGUCCAAGCUUGAAUAUGGCUCAACUUGGCCCACAGAGGGUGAAAGGCCCGUUGUGGAUGGGGUGGUGGCUGAUUGUGCUGACCGUGGAGUCGGGUUGUUUGAGAAUGCAGCCCAAAGUUGGUGGUAAACUCCAUCUAAGGCUAAAUACUGGCACGAGUCCGAUAGCGAACAAGUACCGUGAGGGAAAGUUGAAAAGUACUCUGAAGAGAGAGUAAACAGUGCGUGAAACCGCUUAGAGGUAAACGGGUGUAGUCAAGCUGCAAGCCGUGAGAAAUCUCCGGGUUAGUUGGCGUGAGCCUGAGCACACUCAACGGUGGUAGGUCUGUCCGUAAGGAUGGGUUGGGCACGCAAGUGUCUGAUUGGCGUAUGCCUGCCUUCUGUCGGUGUUCGGCUAGCCCGGCCACUUUCUCAUGGCGUAAGUCACGACCGUCGUUGUCGUCGGUCCGCUUUGUCUAAACCGUGUUGUGGAUAGCCUUGUGUUGUCUGUGAUACGGGGGCAGGUAGCCAGUUCAGCUUCUGUUGGACAGGUGUAAUCUUGCUGGGCAGAGUGGGUUCAAACCGUGCGAUGCGACGUGGCUAGCGGUGACCGAGUGUUAGCUCGCCAAUGUCUUCCGGUGCGGCGUGAGUUUGGCUGCCUGUUGCUAUCUCUGAUGGCCUGGCGGUGGCUCUGCUGUCACUAGUGGGCGGCGUUGUUGAUGUCGGCUUUACGUUGUGCCUAUAGUCUGUGGCGUAGUGGUAGACGAUCCACCCGA
This 901-nucleotide ribosomal RNA is filed under the name Kuhnia scombri. RNAcentral's name for it is "eukaryotic LSU rRNA". It matches the Rfam family "Eukaryotic large subunit ribosomal RNA", at positions 41 to 647 of the family's 3401-position model. Lineage: Eukaryota; Metazoa; Platyhelminthes; Monogenea; Mazocraeidea; Mazocraeidae. The record is from RNAcentral.